RNAcentral lists this ribosomal RNA (253 nucleotides) under uncultured bacterium. Its description in RNAcentral is "partial 16S ribosomal RNA". It matches the Rfam family "Bacterial small subunit ribosomal RNA", at positions 524 to 776 of the family's 1533-position model. The record is from RNAcentral.
UACAUGGGGUGCAAACGUUGCUCGGAAUUAUUGGGCGUAAAGCGCGCGUAGGCGGUUACUCAAGUCGGAUGUGAAAGCCCUCGGCUUAACUGAGGAAGUGCACCCGAAACUGAGUAGCUAGAGUACUAAAGAGGGUCGCGGAAUUCCCGGUGUAGAGGUGAAAUUCGUAGAUAUCUGGAGGAACACCGGUGGCGAAGGCGACAUCCUGGACCGGUAUUGACGCUGAGGCGCGAAAGCCAGGGGAGCAAACGGG